GAUGAAGAACGUAGUGAAAUGCGAUAAGUAAUGCGAAUUGCAGAAUUCAGUGAGUCAUCGAAUCUUUGAACGCACAUUGCGCCCUGUGGUAUUCCGCAGGGCAUGCCUGUUCGAGCGUCAUUUCAACCCUCAAGCCCCGCUUGGUGUUGGGCCCCGCCCGCUGUGGCCGGCCCUAAAGACAGUGGCGGCGCCGCCUGGCCCUCAGCGUAGUACAUCUCUCGCUCCAGGGUCCGGUGGCCGCCUGCCAGAACCCCCCAACUCUGUGGUUGACCUCGGAUCAGGUAGGGAUACCCGCUGAACUUAAGCAUAUCAAUAAGCGGAG
Molecule: unclassified non-coding RNA, 322 nt
Filed under: soil metagenome
Description: partial contains 5.8S ribosomal RNA, internal transcribed spacer 2, and large subunit ribosomal RNA
Rfam family: 5.8S ribosomal RNA (bases 1-120)
Source: RNAcentral